This 754-nucleotide ribosomal RNA is filed under the name uncultured bacterium. RNAcentral describes it as "bacterial SSU rRNA". It matches the Rfam family "Bacterial small subunit ribosomal RNA", at positions 93 to 832 of the family's 1533-position model. The record is from RNAcentral.
GAGUGGCGAACUGGUGAGUAACACGUGCUUAACCUGCCCUUGAAGUAGGGGAUAACACUUGGAAACAGGUGCUAAUACCGUAUAACAACCAAAGCCACCUGGUUUUGGUUUAAAAGAUGGCUUCGGCUAUCACUUUAGGAUGGACCCGCGGCGUAUUAGCUUGUUGGUAAGGUAACGGCCUACCAAGGCAAUGAUACGUAGCCGACCUGAGAGGGUAAUCGGCCACAUUGGGACUGAGACACGGCCCAAACUCCUACGGGAGGCAGCAGUAGGGAAUCUUCCACAAUGGACGAAAGUCUGAUGGAGCAACGCCGCGUGAGUGAUGAAGGGUUUCGGCUCGUAAAACUCUGUUGUUGGAGAAGAACAGGUGUGAGAGUAACUGUUCACAUCUUGACGGUAUCCAACCAGAAAGCCACGGCUAACUACGUGCCAGCAGCCGCGGUAAUACGUAGGUGGCAAGCGUUGUCCGGAUUUAUUGGGCGUAAAGCGAGCGCAGGCGGUUUCUUAGGUCUGAUGUGAAAGCCUUCGGCUUAACCGGAGAAGUGCAUCAGAAACCAGGAGACUUGAGUGCAGAAGAGGACAGUGGAACUCCAUGUGUAGCGGUGAAAUGCGUAGAUAUAUGGAAGAACACCAGUGGCGAAGGCGGCUGUCUGGUCUGUAACUGACGCUGAGGCUCGAAAGCAUGGGUAGCGAACAGGAUUAGAUACCCUGGUAGUCCAUGCCGCAAACGAUGAGUGCUAAGUGUUGGAGGGUU